RNA transcript from Glycine soja, 1033 nucleotides. It is a transcript of the gene named ERBB-3 BINDING PROTEIN 1-like, with no coding region annotated. Lineage: Eukaryota; Viridiplantae; Streptophyta; Magnoliopsida; Fabales; Fabaceae. The record is from RefSeq and is a predicted model, not a curated record. The transcript is spliced from 4 exons.
UAACCCUAGUUGCACAGGAGCAGGAGCACCGUUUGGCUCUACAAGACUUCCCUUUUUCUAUUUAAUUCCUAAAAUCCCAUUCUUCUAGGCUCAUUCCUCUGCACUGCCAUCAUCCCCAACUUCCUCACAAGGUUACAAGGACUAAAGAGUUGUGCCACCAUGUCGGACGAUGAAAGGGAGGAGAAAGAGUUGGAUCUCUCUUCUGCCGAAGUUGUCACCAAAUACAAAACCACUGCUGAGAUCGUUAACAAAUGUAAACCGAAGGCGAAGAUUGUGGAUAUUUGUGAGAAAGGGGAUUCAUACAUUAGAGAGUAAGCUUAUAAUAUUCAUAAAUGAAGGAGCAUUGCCUGUUCUUAACAUAUAUUGAUAUGGCAUGCCAUAUAGAUGGAUUCAUCACUGCGGUAGCUCACACCCAUGUUCUUCAGGAAGGUCCUGUUGCUGCCACAAAUACUGCUGCUGAGGUGGCCUUGAGGCUUGUCAGGCCGGGAAAGAAGGUAAUCAAUUGUAACAAUUUUUUUUUACUGGAUCUGCAUUUAUAUAAUACAAGUUGAUUUGGAUUUUACUACAUGUUGCCUUUCUUGAUUUAUUUCAUUGGUUAAUAGGUGUAAGGUCAUACACUAUUAUAAGCUAUUCAGCUUAGUAAAAUCGGAGAGAAAUUAGGUUGCUUCAUGUGUAUCGUUUUCUUUGCCUAAACACAUGCCUUGUGGAUUUUGAUCUCUAAAUGAUGAAAACUAUCUUGGGCUACGGAUAAACUCCGAUGAAGCUUUAUUGUCAUAGUUACACUGAUAGAGGUCAUUCAUGUUUCUUCUUGUGUUGUCUAUCACAUUGCUCUUUUUUGGAACUCCUCUUGUCUAUAAUGUGUAUUUCUCACCUUAUGCUAUAUGUUUUGUUCUUUUGAGAUUAAUUGGUUCUCAGUUCAAGUGUUUUUUUAUCUACAUGAUGAAUGCUGUCAUGCAUUUGCAUAAAAAACUUGAUUUGUUCUCUAUUCUGAUUCAAAUUGUGGUAAAAAAAUUCAGCUGGAUAUGUCUGUUUU